GGGGAAUUUUGCGCAAUGGGCGAAAGCCUGACGCAGCGACGCCGCGUGUGCGAUGAAGGCCUUUGGGUCGUAAAGCACUGUCGGACGGGACGAAAGCCAGUCGGCUAAUAGUCGGCUGGGUUGACGGUACCGUUAAAGGAAGCACCGGCUAACUCUGUGCCAGCAGCCGCGGUAAGACAGAGGGUGCAAACGUUGCUCGGAUUUAUUGGGCGUAAAGCGCGUGUAGGCGGCUUGUUAAGUCGACUGUGAAAGCCCUUGGCUCAACCAAGGAAGUGCAGUUGAUACUGGCGAGCUGGAGUCCCGAAGAGGAUGGCGGAAUGCUCAGUGUAGAGGUGAAAUUCGUAGAUAUUGGGCAGAACACCGGUGGCGAAGGCGGCCAUCUGGGAGGGGACUGACGCUGAGACGCGAAGGCGUGGGGAUCAAAC
RNAcentral lists this ribosomal RNA (425 nucleotides) under uncultured bacterium. Its description in RNAcentral is "bacterial SSU rRNA". It matches the Rfam family "Bacterial small subunit ribosomal RNA", at positions 356 to 773 of the family's 1533-position model. The record is from RNAcentral.